AGCGAACGCUGGCGGCAGGCCUAACACAUGCAAGUCGAACGAACUCUUCGGAGUUAGUGGCGGACGGGUGAGUAACACGUGGGAACGUGCCUUUUGGUUCGGAAUAACUCAGGGAAACUUGUGCUAAUACCGAAUGUGCCCUUCGGGGGAAAGAUUUAUCGCCAUUAGGGCGGCCCGCGUCUGAUUAGCUAGUUGGUGAGGUAACGGCUCACCAAGGCGACGAUCAGUAGCUGGUCUGAGAGGAUGACCAGCCACACUGGGACUGAGACACGGCCCAGACUCCUACGGGAGGCAGCAGUGGGGAAUCUUGCGCAAUGGGCGAAAGCCUGACGCGGCCAUGCCGCGUGAAUGAUGAAGGUCUUAGGAUUGUAAAAUUCUUUCACCGGGGACGACAAUGACGGUACCCGGAGAAGAAGCCCCGGCUAACUUCGUG
Molecule: ribosomal RNA, 433 nt
Filed under: uncultured bacterium
Lineage: Bacteria
Description: partial 16S ribosomal RNA
Rfam family: Bacterial small subunit ribosomal RNA
Source: RNAcentral